GCUGGGUGUGGUGGCACACACCUGUAGUUCCAGCUACUUGGGAGGCUGAGGCAGGAGGAUCGCUGGAGCCCAGGAGUUCAGGGUUCCAGUGAGUUGUGAUCGCACCACUGCACUCCAGCCUGGGCAACAGAGUGAGACCCUGUCACUA
Pongo abelii (Sumatran orangutan) is the source of this 148-nucleotide unclassified non-coding RNA. It matches the Rfam family "Metazoan signal recognition particle RNA". Rfam says of the family: The signal recognition particle (SRP) is a universally conserved ribonucleoprotein. Lineage: Eukaryota; Metazoa; Chordata; Mammalia; Primates; Hominidae. The record is from Ensembl.